UGCCUAACACAUGCAAGUCGAACGAAGGCUUCGGCCUUAGUGGCGCACGGGUGCGUAACGCGUGGGAAUCUGCCCUUUGGUUCGGAAUAACAGCUGGAAACGGCUGCUAAUACCGGAUGAUGACGAAAGUCCAAAGAUUUAUCGCCAGAGGAUGAGCCCGCGUUGGAUUAGGUAGUUGGUGGGGUAAAGGCCUACCAAGCCGACGAUCCAUAGCUGGUCUGAGAGGAUGAUCAGCCACACUGGGACUGAGACACGGACCAGACUCC
Molecule: ribosomal RNA, 266 nt
Filed under: unidentified marine bacterioplankton
Lineage: Bacteria
Description: partial 16S ribosomal RNA
Rfam family: Bacterial small subunit ribosomal RNA
Source: RNAcentral